This 119-nucleotide ribosomal RNA is filed under the name Sphenodon punctatus (tuatara). Lineage: Eukaryota; Metazoa; Chordata; Lepidosauria; Sphenodontia; Sphenodontidae. The record is from RNAcentral.
UCCUACAGCCACACUGGAUUAAAUGUGCCUGAACCCGUUCAGUCCUGGAAUCUAAGUAGUCCUGGACCUGGCUAGUACUUGGAUGUGAGAUAACCUGGGAAUCUUGGGUGCCGUAGGCU